This 465-nucleotide ribosomal RNA is filed under the name Vreelandella stevensii. RNAcentral describes it as "partial 16S ribosomal RNA". It matches the Rfam family "Bacterial small subunit ribosomal RNA", at positions 338 to 795 of the family's 1533-position model. Lineage: Bacteria; Pseudomonadati; Pseudomonadota; Gammaproteobacteria; Oceanospirillales; Halomonadaceae. The record is from RNAcentral.
CCUACGGUGGGCUGCAGUGGGGAAUAUUGGACAAUGGGCGAAAGCCAGAUCCAGCCAUGCCGCGUGUGUGAAGAAGGCCUUCGGGUUGUAAAGCACUUUCAGUGAGGAAGAAAGCCUUGGGGCUAAUACCCUCGAGGAAGGACAUCACCCACAGAAGAAGCACCGGCUAACUCCGUGCCAGCAGCCGCGGUAAUACGGAGGGUGCGAGCGUUAAUCGGAAUUACUGGGCGUAAAGCGCGCGUAGGCGGUCUGAUAAGCCGGUUGUGAAAGCCCCGGGCUCAACCUGGGAACGGCAUCCGGAACUGUCAGGCUAGAGUGCAGGAGAGGAAGGUAGAAUUCCCGGUGUAGCGGUGAAAUGCGUAGAGAUCGGGAGGAAUACCAGUGGCGAAGGCGGCCUUCUGGACUGACACUGACGCUGAGGUGCGAAAGCGUGGGUAGCAAACAGGAUUAGAUACCCCAGUAGUC